AGCGAACGCUGGCGGCAGGCUUAACACAUGCAAGUCGAACGCCCCGCAAGGGGAGUGGCAGACGGGUGAGUAACACGUGGGAACGUACCCUUUGGUUCGGAAUAACUUGGGGAAACUCAAGCUAAUACCGGAUAAGCCCUUAUGGGGAAAGGUUUACUGCCGAAGGAUCGUCCCGCGGCUGAUUAGCUAGUUGGUGAGGUAAUGGAUCACCAAGGCGACGAUCAGUAGCUGGUCUGAGAGGAUGAACAGCCACACUGGGACUGAGACACGGUCCAGACACCGACGGGUGGCAGCAGUGGAUAAUAUUGUACAAUUGUUGCAACCCUUUGCCAGCCAUGCCGCGUGAGUGAUGAAGGCUUUAGUGUUGUAAAGCUCUUUUACCCGGGACGAUAAUGACUGUACCGGGAGAAUAAGCCCCGGCUAACGUCGUACCAUCCGCCGCCGUAA
This 447-nucleotide ribosomal RNA is filed under the name uncultured bacterium. RNAcentral's name for it is "partial 16S ribosomal RNA". It matches the Rfam family "Bacterial small subunit ribosomal RNA", at positions 29 to 523 of the family's 1533-position model. The record is from RNAcentral.